RNAcentral lists this long non-coding RNA (225 nucleotides) under Elaeis guineensis (African oil palm). Its description in RNAcentral is "long non-coding RNA (EGUI_LNC068236)". The record is from RNAcentral. Lineage: Eukaryota; Viridiplantae; Streptophyta; Magnoliopsida; Arecales; Arecaceae.
GCCUUCCCUCAGCCCUCUUACUUCUUCAAGACCUACAUAGAAGUACACAAAUGAGCACUUAAUCCAGAAUCUAGAACCCAACUAGAAGAAGAGAAAACCGUUAGAUUGGUUUCAAUAACAAACAUAUCAAACGUACCUUCAGAAGGUCUAUCCUUCUUCCUGCUUUUGACAGUCACCAGGUAGGCCAGACAGUUCUUCCUUCAGUGGCCUUCAACAUUGCAAUGG